Molecule: non-coding RNA, 73 nt
Organism: Dipodomys ordii (Ord's kangaroo rat)
Lineage: Eukaryota; Metazoa; Chordata; Mammalia; Rodentia; Heteromyidae
Source: Rfam
UGGAAGGUGGCUCAGUGAUAGAGUGCUUGCCUUGCAUGCAUGAGGGCCUGGGUUUGAUUCCUCAGCAUCACAU